Long non-coding RNA from Scatophagus argus, 833 nucleotides. RefSeq lists it as uncharacterized. The transcript has 2 exons. NCBI's taxonomy places the organism in Eukaryota, Metazoa, Chordata, Actinopteri, Scatophagidae. The record is from RefSeq and is a predicted model, not a curated record.
CUCCCCUGUGCAUCUGGAGCUGCAAGUGUCCCAUUUUUAAGUUGACUUGCUUGUUUCAUACCAUGUGCUUAGCAAUAACCUACUAUCAUGCAUCUGCAUCAUGAACAUUAUGGUCAGUUAGUGUUGUGUGAUUUACUCAGAACAUGUAGACAUUCAGCUUUUAAAAGAAGUAAAUCAAAUCUGCAGUCAAAACUCGCUUCCUCUGCCGACUUAUGUACUCUACUUCUUUUUACUUGUGGGAUUAUUUGGGUUUGAUGUGAUCUUACAUUGAAUGUAUUUAUCUAAUUUAGAGGUGUUUUCUGGUUGACUUUGUUACUAUAUAUUCUAUUUAUUGUUCUUACAGUAAAUAUGUUUGCAUCACAGGUGGUGGUUUUGUUUUAAUUGAAUGUGUUAAAAGAUAUGUUUGAAAUAAUGUAAAGGGGAAAUCUACCAAAGGUACUACUAGAAGGGGUUUCUUGUUUUUCCACAUACAACAAGGCCACAGAGGCAUUCAGUGUGUGUGUGUUAUUGCAGUAUAAAAACUAUGAAUACAUGAGAACAACUUCCCAAGUCUGUAUAUGCAUGGCAGAUCAUAAGGAAACAGGCAGUAGUAAUGCAAUACUUCUAUAAAAGAUAUUGUAGUGCACUAAAAUGAAUCAAAAUCUUUUAAAACGAGUAUAAUUAUUAAGAAUAAUAUAUCUGUCUUUAAUAUAAAAAUGUCUCUUUGUCUUACCUUGAGAGUGUCUUAAUGUUGAGCUGCAGGGGGGGUGUGGUAACAAAAAGGGAAUUUUGUGCUAAAACACUAAGUAAAAGAGGUCUCCUCAGAUAAGCUUUAAAUAAAACUUUGAACAAAA